RNAcentral lists this long non-coding RNA (1253 nucleotides) under Sparus aurata (gilthead seabream). RNAcentral's name for it is "lncRNA (ENSSAUG00010005526.1)". Lineage: Eukaryota; Metazoa; Chordata; Actinopteri; Spariformes; Sparidae. The record is from RNAcentral.
GCAACAUUUUCUGAAAAAAUAUGCCUAAAAAUAUGCCUAUUCAAAAUUUGCUUUCAGUUUGGACUUUUUACUAAAAUUAGAUUAAAGCCAUCUAAAUGUUACUCCAGAUACCAGACAGAUGAUGGCGUGGUUGUGCUGUUGGGUGUGGUCAUCAGGAGAAUGACUGGCACAAGAACCUGUAAUAAUCCUGCACCUGACAGCUGCGGAGUAAUCUGUCUUGGCUCCUCCUCUCAGGGGCUGUCCACACGGGCGAAAACGAUCUUUUUAUUCUCCGUCUUCCUCGUCAUCGUUUUAAGAAUAUUUGCGUCCAUACGGAUCCACUGAAAACGACCGAAAACGCUGUAGUUCAUAUUCCAGGCCUCUAGGUGGCGCUUGACAUUCACCAAAGAGACGGGGCAUGCGCAUUAAGCUUGGUGGGAGACAGGCGCAUUUGUCCCACCCAAAAUUAUACCACGGAGGAGAAAAAUAUUUUGUUUUGAAAUCUUUAACUCACUUGCUUUUAUUUUGAAAGCGUAACAAAGCCUCUUGUCACCGGCCGCCCGUGUUGCCAGGUGUACGAUAUCGUAUUUGUACGAUAAUUUUGCCCUCUGUACGAUGUACGAUCAAUAAUCCCCAAAAAAGCCAAAUAUACGAUAAUUUGACCAUUCCGUGAAUGUGUGGUUGUAAACGGUUGUAAUCGAGAGAUCAGCCUGUCGCGACUGUCUGUCGGAGGUUUUUUGUGAACCCUGAAGGCAUCUGUUUCCAUGUGACAAGUUUCCAGCCAAUCGUGCUUUUCUAAAUGUGAGCUACGAGUGACGUGCAUGCGUUUGCCUCAGAACAACGGUCAUGAUUGGCUGAAUAGUCCGCUGCGCCCGCCCCAUGAGUGAGGAAAAGAAAAAAGCAAAAGAAAAGAAGAAGCAGAGCCGGUCUGGAAGAAAGCGCGGAAAAUGAGAGAACCUGUGGAAGAGGGAGGAGGAGGAGGAGGAGGAGAGUUUAAGAAGACGGCGGGGCAGAGUAGAAAAAACUGCCAAAGGCGGAGACGUGACAUGACUGACGCAGACCGGACAGCUUAUGAAGACCGAGGCGAUCAGGGCUACACACCACUUAGUUUUUUGUCAGCAUUAGAUGUUGGGGUUAACUCGGAAAAAAAACAUGUACCCCUUGGCCUGUUGUUCAUCAGUUAUUUAUUUUUUAUUAUUUAUUGUUAUUCUGGUUACCUCUUUUCCAUGUUAUUAUAUAGCCAGGUUAUAUAUGCACUUUAUUUUAAGUUAUAA